RNAcentral lists this long non-coding RNA (2032 nucleotides) under Triticum aestivum (bread wheat). RNAcentral describes it as "long non-coding RNA (TAES_LNC011361)". The record is from RNAcentral. Lineage: Eukaryota; Viridiplantae; Streptophyta; Magnoliopsida; Poales; Poaceae.
UAUUUGUCUAGCUUUCCUUUUAUCUUACUUUCUACUUGCUUUUCGUCAAAUACAGUUGUCAUCACAUGCGCAGAUGAACUGGAUCGAUCUAUUCAGGUAAUCCAAUACUUUCAGUGCAACAAUGUGGUGAAACAGAAAUAUAUUUGCACAAAGAAUUUCACAGCUCAUGUGGAUGUAGCACUAAAUUUCUUUAUGCGCCGAGCUUGAACAGAACUCCCUGGUUGGAGAUGUGCGCUUAGCUUAUUAUUUUCUUGGAACAAUGAUUCACUUGAUUUUGGUUUGACGCAAACAUAUAGAUAGAUUUCACAAGGUAAUAGCAAGCCCAUGUGACCCUAUAUGCAAUCUCUGUUUGUAGAUGCUCUAUAUUAUGACAUUUAUCUAAUUAAAAUUUACUGAAAUAAAAACGGCUACGGUGUAACUUAUAGAUCAUUUUUUUGUAGGUUAAAUCUAGGAAAUCGUAUGUCGUCAAAACUCUAACAAGCCAUCAGAUUGUUAUGACAGUAUCGUUACUGCAAUGAAAAAUCACUUCACAAGAUUCAUAUUCUCAUUCUAAUGACCAAUACAAACAAAGUAUAUCGCAAUUUCUGUGUGUUGGAAGGAGAAACUCACACACAAGAAAAGCUAUGGUAUUUCAUGUUAAGCUUGCAUGUACAGACCUGCAAUGAUUGAGUUAGUUCAAAUUAUUGUGUGCUAUAUUACUAACCUGCUCUUUGUAGUUUGUAUUUAUGGACAUAUAUCAUGCUGUUUUAUGGUCAUUUUAAUAAUGUUUCCCUUUUCAAAUAUUUGUUAUGAUGAUGUAUAAUUAGGUUAGCUUGAAAAAGGGAGGAUGAUGCUAUUAGCUAUUCUUGAGCUAGGAGCUCCUAAUUAAGUGUCCUUUUAGUUUCCGUAUUACGGCUUUGUUGUACUGAUAGAACAGUAGGUUGGCACUUCUUCUGUCAUGUUAUUUUUUUAGCCAUUGCCCUUUUCUAGCUAAUAGUGUGGUACUAUUCUGUUACAAAGUAAAUUCUUUUCCGAGAUCACACUUUCAUAUUUGGUUUCGAAAAUAAUUGUCUUUUGUGAAGAUCCAUCUCUGAAUAUUUUAGUUAAUGAACAGCAGUCUUACUGCCUAAUCUUAAACUAAUUGUUUGAACUUUUCAUAGAGAUCAGAAUUGUACAUAGACAGCUGGUUAUAAACUUAAUAAUUGAUGACUGGAUGUUUUGUACAAAACUCUGCUUAAGUACGGUUUCAGAUGGUGAAUAAAUUAAUGAAGAACGUUUCUUAUGCAUGUGGAAUCACCUGGUAAUUUUCUUAGGAACGCGGUUUUCCUAUUCCACAGUGAAAUCUGAGGUUGCCUUUAAACUACAACAAAGGAACUGGUGAUGCUGCCAUUGUGUGGCCUCUUACGAUAUAUUUUUGGACCUGUUACUAGAUGGCACACGCAUUAGCUGCCAUAAGAAACAAAUCAUUUUUUAUUUUAAUAUGUCAGCUGAGACGCGUUUGACUACCUUCUUACUUAUUAUGCAGGGCACCAAGUAACGAAUAAUUGGAUCUCAAAGCUCAUAUAUGAAGCACCGAUCUUGGUAGUGGCAUAAAUGGAAGAUGAGAUCUAUGAAUAACAAAUACAAUAAUUACCUGUAGUUUCUAUAAUUUUCAAAGUUUGUAUUCUCUUCAAGAUUUUCAGUCGUUCAAGCUCACAAAUAAGAUACAUAUGGGCAUCAAUUCUAUCAGGUUUUUACACACAUGCUUCAUUUUUGAAGUAAAGAAGCAAGGGAAAACGCAGGUAAAUGCACCAAAAAUGAGAUGUCAUCAAAAGUGUUUAAGUUAUUGGAACAUCACUUUUUAUGAUUUCGUGUACAUCUGAAUUUGUAUUUGUUAGCAUUAAUCAUGGAAAAAAUAAACAAUUUUCUUUCCCUAUAUAAGCAAUCAUAAAUUUGCAUGUUUCCAAUAAAACAAGUGGGUAAAUGUAGUACUUUUAUAUUUUAUAUCUCUAAAUAUGGUUUAUCAAAUAAAUGCUUUAGUACCUAUAUAGACUAGGCCGUGCGGAUGCACGGG